ACUCAAAGGAAUAGACGGGGGCCCGCACAAGCGGUGGAGCAUGUGGUUCAAUUCGAAGCAACGCGCAGAACCUUACCAGCUCUUGACAUGUCCCGUAUGGGUUCCAGAGAUGGGACCCUUCAGUUCGGCUGGCGGGAACACAGGUGCUGCAUGGCUGUCGUCAGCUCGUGUCGUGAGAUGUUGGGUUAAGUCCCGCAACGAGCGCAACCCUCGGCCUUAGUUGCCAUCAUUUAGUUGGGCACUCUAAGGCGACUGCCGGUGAUAAGCCGGAGGAAGGUGGGGAUGACGUCAAGUCCUCAUGGCCCUUACGGGCUGGGCUACACACGUGCUACAAUGGCGGUGACAGAGGGACGCAAAAGGGCAACCUUUCGCAAAUCUCGAAAAACCGUCUCAGUUCGGAUUGGGGUCUGCAACUCGACCCCAUGAAGUUGGAAUCGCUAGUAAUCGCGGAUCAGCACGCCGCGGUGAAUACGUUCCCGGGCCUUGUACACACCGCCCGU
RNAcentral lists this ribosomal RNA (500 nucleotides) under uncultured bacterium. Its description in RNAcentral is "bacterial SSU rRNA". It matches the Rfam family "Bacterial small subunit ribosomal RNA", at positions 899 to 1397 of the family's 1533-position model. The record is from RNAcentral.